Lolium perenne is the source of this 2646-nucleotide RNA transcript. RefSeq lists it as uncharacterized. Lineage: Eukaryota; Viridiplantae; Streptophyta; Magnoliopsida; Poales; Poaceae. The record is from RefSeq and is a predicted model, not a curated record.
GGCCCAUGCUCAUAUUAUCCUCUUCUACUUCUACCGUCGCCUUCCUUCUUCCUCGUCGCCAUCUCCUCUCUCACCCUCCACCACGCCCCGCUCCCUCCAAAACCCCAGCAGAAUGGAGGGGAACGCGCUCGCCCUCUCGCAAUUCCGCACGCGGCUCGGCUCGCCGCUCCACCUCUCCGCGGACGCCAGCUCCGUCGCGCGCAGCAGCUCAGGGAGGAGCAUGGCCUCGAGGUACGACACGGGAGCGCCUCCGAGCAGAGCAGGGAGGGGCAGGGUUUGGAAGCGUGAUGAUCCGGAGUCCUCACCUCGCCGAGCAGGGAUUAGUGGAAUUCCAAAGCUCGAUCCCAAAUUCUCUAAUAAAGGAGCAGGGACAAAUAAGGCUCCAAUUAUUAAUUUCGAGGUUUCGCAUCACAGAGCAGUUGCUGCGGUGAGGUUGCUAAGAGCUGACAAGGGGAAGGCGUUUGUUGAUCUUUUAAAUGAGAAAGCAAACGAUUCUGCGGAGAAUGAGAUGGGCUAUGUAGAAAGGACGUUAGGAUUCAGUACACGGAAUUUGGAUGACAGGGAUAUAAGACUGGUUACUGUCAUAGUAGCUGGAACUGUACGUUGGAAACGCUACAUCGAUUUUCUUAUCAUGUCACUCUGUAGUGACGAGAAGGUGUUCAGCAAAAUGGAACCACUGCUGCUGCAGAUACUGCGAAUUGGCUUCUUUGAAAUUCUCAAACUUAAUGUACCAGCUUAUGCAGUUGUUGAUGAGAAUGUAAGACUUGCGAAAGUAGCUUUAAGGCCUGGUGCCGGGAACAUGGUGAACGCAAUUCUGCGCAAACUUCUAUCACUGAAGGAGACGGACUCUCUUCCUCUUCCAAAGAUAGAAGGUGAUGAUCGUGCCCAAGCUCGUGCACUUUCCAUAAUUUAUUCUCAUCCUGUUUGGAUGGUGAGAAGAUGGAUUCGAUUUCUUGGAAAAGAAGAAGCUCUAAAAUUGAUGGAUUGGAAUAACAGUGACCCUUAUUUCAGUCUAAGGGUGAACACAACAAAUGGCUAUACAAGGGAUGACCUUAUUAACCGAUUGGACGAUUUGCAGGUUCAUUACGAAAAGUCAAUUAUGGAUGAAUUUGUCCGCAUUCGUGAGGGCAUGCAGGCAGUCUUACAAGCUGGAUUACUGAAAGAAGGCAUGUGUGCUGUGCAGGAUGAGAGCGCAGGUCUUGUUGUGUCUGUGGUCGAUCCACAACCUGGCGAAACAAUCAUGGAUUGUUGUGCUGCACCUGGCGGCAAAACUUUGUUCAUGGCAUCCCGACUGGCAGGACAAGGGAAGAUAUGGGCUCUUGACAUAAACAAAGGUCGCUUGAGAAUUCUCAUGGAGGCAGCAAAGUGCCACAACCUUGAUGAUAUAAUCACUGAUGUCCACGGUGAUCUUCGACUAUAUGCUAAGGAAAGCACUGCCAAAUAUGACAAGGUAUUGUUGGAUGCUCCAUGCUCUGGGCUGGGCGUCCUUUCCAAGAGGGCAGACUUGCGUUGGAAUCGACAAUUUGAAGAUCUGGAGGAGUUGAUAUGUUUGCAAGAUGAGCUCCUUGAUUCAGCGUCACUGUUGGUAAAGCCUGGUGGUGUACUAAUCUACAGUACAUGUUCCAUUGAUCAUGAAGAAAACGAGAACCGGAUUACUGCUUUUGUUCAGAGGCAUCCGGAGUUUAUCCCGCAGAGUGUACAUGGAUAUGUUCCUGCAGAAUUUAUCACAGAUGAAGGUUUCUAUUCCUCAACUCCAACUAAACACACUCUGGAUGGGGCAUUUGCUGCUCGUCUUGUCCGGUCAUUGCACUAGGACUCCUAGAACUAGUUUCUUAGAGGAGGAUAACCUUAUGCGCUCUGCGGUGCAUAUUGCUUCUUGGACUGCAUUCAAAUGUAGCCAAUGCUUUGCAAACAAGGAAGCCUCCCAGAGGGCAUGGAAAGACGGUGGAGAUGACAAGACUCGGUGGCUCUGAAUCUGGGUCUGCGGUGCAUACAAAGAUAUCCACAGAAGGUAGGACUGUGAACUGCCUGGUUUAUCAGUUGAAGAUUUAUUCCAGAAUCAGGUAAGAGUUGAGGUGUUAAAAUGGACUUUUUCUUACAAGAAACGACCCCGCGAUCUAGCCCCUACUUUUAUCAUCCAUACACCUUUUGUUAGAUAUAAAAGGCCACUUGGACCGGCUUAUUUAUUUAUUUAUUUAUUCAUGUUCUAGGUUAGUGAUCUCCAAUCAUUUGGAAUUUAUGACCUUUAGCCUUGAUAUUGCCUUAUAUUUUUGGUUAGUGACCUCCCACCAGUUUGAAUUUUUCCCUUUGGCCUUAGUAUUGCCUUCUAUCUUUGACAGUCAUUAUUCGAACCAAAACCAUUUUCUUUUGACGAUUGCGUGUUCAAUGGAGCUCAACCCUUCAUCAGCACCGUCGUCAACAACAUCAAGGAGGAGGCUGCCUUAUGGGCAAGGGCAGGAGCGCAGGGGCUACGCCUGAUCCUCCCUCAGACUUGGGAUGUACACUAGUCCAUCGCUUUUUGUUCCUUCUGUGUUGUAUCGCCUCUUAGGGGGCAUGUAACCGUAAACCUUCUAUCUAUCCAAUGAAAUGAAACACAAAGGCUUUUUGCGUUUUCUCGAAAAAAAUAAUAAUAGAGACCCUUGUACA